GGAGAAGUUAUAGAUCUAAGAAAAAAGGGAAGAAAGACCUCAAAGCUUUUUUAGGAUUUCUCAGAAACCCUAGAAACGAGAAGGCCUGGAAAGAUCUGGUCUUUGAACAAGUCUGGGUCAUGGCUAAACCUUGUCAAAGCUCGAACAAGCUGGAACAGAGCGGGAGAAGCCAAAAGAACUUAGAUCGGCAGAGGACUUGAACAAGUCUGUUGAAGAUCGAACCUUGAAAACCUUGAAUAAUCAUGGUUUGGGGUGAAUGAAAGAGCGUAUAGGCUGUUCAUGGCCUGGGAAGUCAUCGACGCCGGUGGAUUUGGGCGGAGAAAGCGGUAGGCGGCUAGGUUUUCGAGUGGUUUUAAGGAGAUUUUGAGAGACGAGGGAGUUU
RNAcentral lists this long non-coding RNA (382 nucleotides) under Nicotiana benthamiana. RNAcentral describes it as "long non-coding RNA (NBEN_LNC018211)". Lineage: Eukaryota; Viridiplantae; Streptophyta; Magnoliopsida; Solanales; Solanaceae. The record is from RNAcentral.